UACGUAGGGUGCAGGCGUUAAUCGGAAUUACUGGGCGUAAAGCGUGCGCAGGCGGUUUCUUAAGUCAGAUGUGAAAGCCCCGGGCUUAACCUGGGAACUGCGUUUGAAACUGGGAGACUUGAGUGUGGCAGAGGAGGGUGGAAUUCCACGUGUAGCAGUGAAAUGCGUAGAUAUGUGGAGGAACACCGAUGGCGAAGGCAGCCCCCUGGGUUAACACUGACGCUCAUGCACGAAAGCGUGGGGAGCAAACAGG
RNAcentral lists this ribosomal RNA (253 nucleotides) under uncultured bacterium. RNAcentral describes it as "partial 16S ribosomal RNA". It matches the Rfam family "Bacterial small subunit ribosomal RNA", at positions 524 to 776 of the family's 1533-position model. The record is from RNAcentral.